GAGUUUGAUCAUGGCUCAGGAUGAACGCUAGCGGGAGGCCUAACACAUGCAAGCCGAGCGGGAUUUGUUGGUUAGCUUGCUAACUAACAAUGAGAGCGGCGUACGGGUGCGUAACACGUGUGCAACCUGCCUUUAUCUGGGGGAUAGCCUUUCGAAAGGAAGAUUAAUACCCCAUAAUAUAUUGAUUGGCAUCAGUUAAUAUUGAAAGCUCCGGCGGAUAGAGAUGGGCACGCGUAAGAUUAGCUAGUUGGUGAGGUAACGGCUCACCAAGGCUGCGAUCUUUAGGGGGCCUGAGAGGGUGAUCCCCCACACUGGUACUGAGACACGGACCAGACUCCUACGGGAGGCAGCAGUGAGGAAUAUUGGACAAUGGGUGAGAGCCUGAUCCAGCCAUCCCGCGUGAAGGACUAAGGACCUAUGGUUUGUAAACUUCUUUUAUACAGGGAUAAACCUACUCUCGUG
Molecule: ribosomal RNA, 462 nt
Filed under: Bergeyella zoohelcum
Lineage: Bacteria; Pseudomonadati; Bacteroidota; Flavobacteriia; Flavobacteriales; Weeksellaceae
Description: bacterial SSU rRNA
Rfam family: Bacterial small subunit ribosomal RNA
Source: RNAcentral